This 640-nucleotide ribosomal RNA is filed under the name Auriporia aurea. RNAcentral describes it as "eukaryotic LSU rRNA". The stretch from base 241 to 394 matches the Rfam family "5.8S ribosomal RNA". The record is from RNAcentral. Lineage: Eukaryota; Fungi; Basidiomycota; Agaricomycetes; Polyporales; Auriporiaceae.
UAGAGGAAGUAAAAGUCGUAACAAGGUUUCCGUAGGUGAACCUGCGGAAGGAUCAUUAAUGAAUUGAACUGGAGUUGUCGCUGGCUCUCUCUUCGGGAGCAUGUGCACGCUCUGCUUUCAUUUCCAUUUCACACCUGUGCACACAUUGUAAGGUCGGGUCUUGAAGAGGACCCUUCCCUACGUUUCAACCUCAUAAACCACACUAUAGAAUGUACAUCUGCGUAUAACGCAUCUUAAUACAACUUUCAGCAACGGAUCUCUUGGCUCUCGCAUCGAUGAAGAACGCAGCGAAAUGCGAUAAGUAAUGUGAAUUGCAGAAUUCAGUGAAUCAUCGAAUCUUUGAACGCAACUUGCGCCCCUUGGUAUUCCGAGGGGCAUGCCCGUUUGAGUGUCAUGGAAUUCUCAACUCAUACAUCCUUGUGAUGUUGUGAGCUUGGAUUUGGAGGUUUUGCUGGCCUGGUCAGCUCCUCUUGAAUGCAUUAGCUUUGAACCCCUUGUGGAUCAGCUUUCGGUGUGAUAAUUGUCUACGCCGUGAACUGUGAAGCAACUCGUGUUGGGCUCAGCUUCUAAUCGUUGAAAAACAUAUUUUGACCUCUGACCUCAAAUCGGGUAGGACUACCCGCUGAACUUAAGCAUAUCA